This is a long non-coding RNA of Neopsephotus bourkii (Bourke's parrot), 3060 nucleotides long. RefSeq lists it as uncharacterized. The transcript has 9 exons. The record is from RefSeq and is a predicted model, not a curated record. NCBI's taxonomy places the organism in Eukaryota, Metazoa, Chordata, Aves, Psittaciformes, Psittacidae.
GAAGCCCGCGCUGCUCGGUUUAGGCUGGUGUAAAUGCAGUCGCUCUUCCUGCGCUCCUAACGCUGUAGCUCGUGGCUGUUUCUGUGUCAUCUGUCGGUGACGCUGCAAUGACCUGCAGGUCAGGACAGGGUGUCCAUCAAAGAUUGAGGUUACUGUGAGGGCAAGUGUGUCAGUGGAGAAAUUAUGGGGAAUGGAUUUCAAUACUGGGCAUCCACAGGGGCAGUGGAGAAAUGACGUAUUCAAUGAGUGGAGAGCUAUAGUUAAUUGUUCUGGUGACAUCUGUGAUGGACUGUGGAUCAAUGGCUCCCCUGCUGUGUUUCGCAUCCUCUGAGUACUCAUUUCUCCUAGAAUGCAUAGUUUUCUGGACAAGGGGGAUGACUAUUUGACUGAGACCUUUCCUACAGGGAGGGAGCUGUUCUCUCAAAUUAAACACAAAGCUGCAGUGAGCCUAUGGAAGUUCUGGAGGAAGCUAUGGUGGAGCAGAUGUUUCUGUGCAGAGGACCACAGUGGAACAGAUACUGACACUGCAGCCCAUGAAGAAGGACCCCAUGCCAGAGCAGGUGAAUAUUUCCUAAAGGAACUGUAGCCCAUGGGACAGGUUCUACUGACAGGAGCUGUGGCUUAUGGAGGACUGAUGCUGGAGCAUGGUUAAAAUCUGUGAGCAGUUGUCAUUUGGAGAUCUGGGCUCGCACUGGAAACCACGAAGCCCCAUCAAGUUCUGCUACCAACUUAUUUGAGUUGAUUGAAGAAACUGAGAGGAAAACAGUUCUGUGUGCGUAGUCUGGGGAAGAGUCAAUUUCAUUGUGUAUUUCCCUUGAUUAAUAUAUGUAUUCAGUAAUCUAAAACCAGGUAGUUGGUUUGCCAACAUCAUAAAUUACAGCAAAGGUGCAAGUGUUAUAACCUAAACAUAGUAGCAGAUACCUUUUUCUAGAUGCUCAGGUGUUUUUAUGGUUGUCACGUACACUUUUAUAGUGUAAUAUUUAGCCUUUGAAGAGUGCAGGUUGUUUGCUGCCCUCCCCUGCCUCUAACUGGUGGCUUCUGACUAUUCAAAGAAAGAUCCUUUAAUUGAGCAAAUAAUACACCAUGCUCUGUCUUCAAUCUGGGAACAUUAAAAUCAUCCUUCUAAAUACGGAUUUGUGAUCCUUUAAUAAUUGAUCUCUGAAGUAUGGGUAAAUCCACUCAAGUCUCUGGAAACUUCUGAAUGUGUCAGUACUUCUAAAAGGCCAAGAACCCCUUUAAAUCUCAUUGAAAUUUGUUAACAAAAUCUCACCCAGCAAUUUGUUUCUCUGCAUAUUUUUAUAGCAACAAUUUUCUUUUUUUUUUUUCCUGUCAAGGAUAAUAGCUGAUGUCAGAACUGUAAAUACUCCACAGUAGUUAUUUGAAGUACAGUACCAGAUGAAAUUGAAUCUACUGUGAAAUUUUUCUUUGAAGCUGUGAAACUUGAUUCUCUGUUUAUUAGGGAAGUCACUGCUUUCAGUUUGUGCAGCAUUUCAGCAGAACUUGGAAAACAGAAGGGGUAACCUAAAUGAAUUAUAUAGCCUCACUUGUCAGCUGUAUCUCCAGUUUGACAAAAUCUAAUGAAGUUGUUGGAGAGAUAGUUCUUAAUGUAUGUCUUCUGCUGCAUACCCAACUUUAAAUUUAUAUACCGAGUACCUGGUGGUUGUCAUGGUGAAUUUAUUCUUGUAUUUGCACUUAAGAUUUAAAAACCUAGCAGCAUACAUAAACAAAAAUGUCAAAACUAUUUUCUUUCAUUGGAUCUGAGUGUAUAAGGUGUCUUGACAUAUGUGCAUCUGGAAACUGGGAACUGAAAUCCACUGUUUCUUUCACUAGCAAUUCUGGAUUUCACUGGCUGAUUCACCAAUCCCUAAGGGACAUAGGGCCAAAACCUGGAACUGACACCAGUAGGGAGAUGAAGAUGCUUCAAGCAGUCAGCAUGGAGGCAAAAAGCCAAGUGGCAGAAUAUCUGCUGAGAAAGCUGAGAAGAUGACAGUCUCACAGGAGAAAAUGGAAGACAGCAGGUCUCACAUGACAUGCAAACACUGCAAGCUACAAAAGGAUCUGCACCUCAAGGAAUUCUAAGGCCUUACAAGAAAAUCUUCCCUGGAUUCUGUCCUGCACUUCAAGUUUCCUGGUGGAAGUGAGGAGCAACUUGUUAGUCAGUCUUAGUCUUAAUUGCCAGUCAGUUUUUAUUACACUAAAAGAGUCGCUUGUUGUAAUUGACCUUUGUCGAGAAGAAUGCGUAUGCAAGACUGCAUCUCUACUUCUCCAGCCACCUAAAGUACCAGGUUGCAUUAUCCAGAUGUGCCACUGGAAGCAGAUGCCAGGACUUUAAGCUUGGUGGUAGAUGAAGGGCUGUAUGGGAUAUGCGCUCUACAUUUAGUUUAGGUUUAUGGAAAGGAACAGAAGGGAACAUGUAGCUGUUCUCCUAAGCACUAGAUAUGAGAGACAUGGAGAAGCUGAGUGAUGGGUAGGGAGGUAUUCAGAGGAUCCCCCUGGGAAAACUUUACCUAGGACAAUCAAAAUAAAAAUCCUAAAUGUGCCUUUAACAGCCAUUUUGGAUUCACUUGGAAGGAUGGUUGCAUCACUGACUCUUGACUCAUUAUAUCAUUUGGGAACAUAAGUAGACAGGACAGUGUUAGACCUGUCGUUGUGAAGAUACCGGGAUCCUUAAGGAGACCUUACAAUUGCCUGCUGCAAGAAAAGCAGAUGGGAUCUGUGUCCAGUAAGUGCUUUAUCUUGCAAGUAGCUUGGGAUUCAGAAUGUUGUAUAAGAUCUGUUAUCUACAGUGCAAAUGUAGAGCAUGUAACUGUGGUUUCCUUUGGGUUGAGAAGCACUAAAUGCUUGCAAGUUCUUGUGAUUGUUGUGAAUAUGAAUGAAUCCUCUGGGUGGCCUUUUAAUAAUAUAAUUGUUGUAGAAAUAAAUAAAUAAAUAUUUUUUCUCUACUAUUUUGAAAUUAAUAGGGAUAUUUCCUGCAAGACUGCAGAGGAAAAUGAUAGGCCCAAGCCCAGAAAGGAGCUUUCCUAGUUUCAUCUGGUAUUAAACAGUACAGACAGAGGGCAG